RNAcentral lists this ribosomal RNA (446 nucleotides) under uncultured bacterium. RNAcentral's name for it is "partial 16S ribosomal RNA". It matches the Rfam family "Bacterial small subunit ribosomal RNA", at positions 338 to 795 of the family's 1533-position model. The record is from RNAcentral.
CCUACGGGGGACAGCAGUCGAGAAUCAUUCACAAUGGGGGAAACCCUGAUGGUGCGACGCCGCGUGGGGGAAUGAAGGUCUUCGGAUUGUAAACCCCUGUCAUGUGGGAGCAAAUUAAAAAGAUAGUACCACACGAGGAAGAGACGGCUAACUCUGUGCCAGCAGCCGCGGUAAUACAGAGGUCUCAAGCGUGGUUCGGAAUCACUGGGCGUAAAGCGUGCGUAGGCUGUUUCGUAAGUCGUGUGUGAAAGGCGCGGGCUCAACCCGCGGACGGCACAUGAUACUGCGAGACUAGAGUAAUGGAGGGGGAACCGGAAUUCGCGGUGUAGCAGUGAAAUGCGUAGAUAUCGAGAGGAACACUCGUGGCGAAGGCGGGUUCCUGGACAUUAACUGACGCUGAGGCACGAAGGCCAGGGGAGCGAAAGGGAUUAGAUACCCGUGUAGUC